RNAcentral lists this ribosomal RNA (1442 nucleotides) under uncultured organism. RNAcentral's name for it is "SSU rRNA". It matches the Rfam family "Bacterial small subunit ribosomal RNA". The record is from RNAcentral.
AACGCUAGCGACAGGCUUAACACAUGCAAGUCGAGGGGCAGCACAGGUAGCAAUACCGGGUGGCGACCGGCGCACGGGUGAGUAACGCGUAUGCAACUUGCCUAUCAGAGGGGGAUAACCCGGCGAAAGUCGGACUAAUACCGCAUGAAGCAGGGGCCCCGCAUGGGGAUAUUUGCUAAAGAUUCAUCGCUGAUAGAUAGGCAUGCGUUCCAUUAGGCAGUUGGCGGGGUAACGGCCCACCAAACCGACGAUGGAUAGGGGUUCUGAGAGGAAGGUCCCCCACAUUGGUACUGAGACACGGACCAAACUCCUACGGGAGGCAGCAGUGAGGAAUAUUGGUCAAUGGGCGCGAGCCUGAACCAGCCAAGUCGCGUGAGGGAUGAAGGUUCUAUGGAUCGUAAACCUCUUUUAUAAGGGAAUAAAGUGCGGGACGUGUCCCGUUUUGUAUGUACCUUAUGAACAAGGAUCGGCUAACUCCGUGCCAGCAGCCGCGGUAAUACGGAGGAUCCGAGCGUUAUCCGGAUUUAUUGGGUUUAAAGGGUGCGUAGGCGGCCUUUUAAGUCAGCGGUGAAAGUCUGUGGCUCAACCAUAGAAUUGCCGUUGAAACUGGGGGGCUUGAGUAUGUUUGAGGCAGGCGGAAUGCGUGGUGUAGCGGUGAAAUGCAUAGAUAUCACGCAGAACCCCGAUUGCGAAGGCAGCCUGCCAAGCCAUUACUGACGCUGAUGCACGAAAGCGUGGGGAUCAAACAGGAUUAGAUACCCUGGUAGUCCACGCAGUAAACGAUGAUCACUAGCUGUUUGCGAUACACUGUAAGCGGCACAGCGAAAGCGUUAAGUGAUCCACCUGGGGAGUACGCCGGCAACGGUGAAACUCAAAGGAAUUGACGGGGGCCCGCACAAGCGGAGGAACAUGUGGUUUAAUUCGAUGAUACGCGAGGAACCUUACCCGGGUUUGAACGCAUUCGGACCGAGGUGGAAACACCUUUUCUAGCAAUAGCCGUUUGCGAGGUGCUGCAUGGUUGUCGUCAGCUCGUGCCGUGAGGUGUCGGCUUAAGUGCCAUAACGAGCGCAACCCUUGCCACUAGUUACUAACAGGUAAAGCUGAGGACUCUGGUGGGACUGCCAGCGUAAGCUGCGAGGAAGGCGGGGAUGACGUCAAAUCAGCACGGCCCUUACAUCCGGGGCGACACACGUGUUACAAUGGCGUGGACAAAGGGAAGCCACCUGGCGACAGGGAGCGAAUCCCCAAACCACGUCUCAGUUCGGAUCGGAGUCUGCAACCCGACUCCGUGAAGCUGGAUUCGCUAGUAAUCGCGCAUCAGCCAUGGCGCGGUGAAUACGUUCCCGGGCCUUGUACACACCGCCCGUCAAGCCAUGGGAGCCGGGGGUACCUGAAGUCCGUAACCGCGAGGAUCGGCCUAGGGUAAAACUGGUGACUGGGGC